GAUUAACGCUAGCGGCAGGCCUAAUACAUGCAAGUCGAACGGUAAGGUUCCUUCGGGAAUACACGAGUGGCGCACGGGUGCGUAACGCGUAUGCAACCUACCUUUAACUGGAGAAUAGCCCCGAGAAAUCGGGAUUAAUACUUCAUAACAAUAAGAAUUGGCAUCUUUUCUUAUUUAAAGCUCCGGCGGUUAAAGAUGGGCAUGCGUGACAUUAGUUAGUUGGUGAGGUAACGGCUCACCAAGACAGCGAUGUCUAGGGGGUUCUGAGAGGAUUUUCCCCCCACACUGGUACUGAGACACGGACCAGACUCCUACGGGUGGCAG
RNAcentral lists this ribosomal RNA (324 nucleotides) under uncultured Bacteroidota bacterium. RNAcentral describes it as "bacterial SSU rRNA". It matches the Rfam family "Bacterial small subunit ribosomal RNA", at positions 28 to 351 of the family's 1533-position model. The record is from RNAcentral. Lineage: Bacteria; Pseudomonadati; Bacteroidota.